This is an RNA transcript of Vigna angularis (adzuki bean), 1628 nucleotides long. It is a transcript of the gene named 26S proteasome regulatory subunit S10B homolog B, with no coding region annotated. Lineage: Eukaryota; Viridiplantae; Streptophyta; Magnoliopsida; Fabales; Fabaceae. The record is from RefSeq and is a predicted model, not a curated record. The transcript is spliced from 11 exons.
UAUUAGGGCUAAAGGAAAAUAGUUCGCAUACACGACAGAGUUUGUCAUUUGAUAGUAUAAAAAGCUAUUUCAAUCCCUUUUUCUGAUUUCAGAUUUUGGUUAUAGCGAGUAACACUAACAAUGACCGAUACUGAAGACGCCACACGACGCCGUAACGCGGUUACGGAGUACCGAAAGAAACUUCUUCAACACAAGGAAUUGGAAUCCAGAGUGCGAUCGGUGAGAGAGAAUUUGCGAGCUUCAAGAAAGGAGUUCAACAAAACAGAAGAUGAUUUGAAGUCUCUUCAAAGCGUUGGACAGAUCAUUGGCGAGGUUCUCAGGCCUCUCGACAAUGAGCGCCUGAUUGUUAAGGCAAGCAGUGGACCUAGGUAUGUAGUUGGUUGCCGCAGUAAAGUAGAUAAGGAAAAACUGACUGCUGGUACCAGAGUGGUUCUUGAUAUGACAACACUAACCAUAAUGAGGGCUCUUCCACGUGAGGUUGAUCCGGUAGUUUACAAUAUGCUGCAUGAGGAUCCCGGUAAUAUCAGUUAUUCCGCAGUUGGUGGUUUAUCUGAUCAGAUAAGAGAAUUGAGGGAAUCAAUUGAACUACCUCUGAUGAACCCUGAGCUCUUCCUUAGAGUCGGAAUAAAACCUCCUAAGGGUGUUCUCCUUUACGGUCCUCCUGGUACUGGUAAAACAUUGUUAGCUAGGGCAAUUGCUAGUAAUAUAGAUGCUAACUUCUUGAAGGUUGUUUCAAGUGCAAUAAUUGAUAAGUACAUUGGAGAAAGUGCCAGGUUAAUUAGAGAGAUGUUUGGUUAUGCACGAGAUCAUCAGCCUUGCAUCAUUUUUAUGGAUGAGAUCGAUGCCAUUGGUGGCCGUCGUUUCAGUGAGGGAACAAGUGCUGAUCGUGAGAUUCAGAGAACACUAAUGGAGUUGCUUAAUCAACUCGAUGGGUUUGAUCAACUUGGGAAGGUUAAAAUGAUAAUGGCAACAAACCGUCCCGACGUACUGGAUCCUGCUCUUCUGCGUCCUGGAAGAUUGGAUAGAAAAAUAGAGAUUCCAUUGCCAAAUGAACAAUCUAGGAUGGAAAUUCUGAAGAUUCAUGCUGCUGGGAUAGCUAAGCAUGGUGAAAUAGAUUAUGAAGCCGUUGUGAAGCUUGCUGAGGGCUUCAAUGGAGCUGAUCUUCGAAAUGUGUGCACGGAAGCUGGAAUGGCAGCAAUUCGUGCAGAACGUGAUUAUGUGAUCCAUGAAGAUUUUAUGAAGGCUGUUAGAAAACUGAAUGAUGCAAAGAAACUUGAAUCCAGUGCUCCCUACAGUGCUGAUUUUGGCAAAGACUAGACUAUUAUGAAAUUCUUAUUCAUGAAUAUCUAGGCAGUACAUCUUGAGUCACAUUCUUCGUGCAAUUAGGUUAUGUACUACUAAUUACGGCCGGCAACAAUCUAAUAUUGAGUUGGAAUUUAGUUUCUCUUCAAUCCAGCUAGCUAAGCUCUUUUUUAUAGUUAUUAUACUAAUUUGAGGCCUUGGUGAUCUGAGUGUUGCGUUGUGAACUCUACCUUCCGUGUAAACACUAGUGGAAAAAAAAUUAUUUUCCAUCUUUUCUUUAUAUUAUGGUGACAUUUUUAUAUAUAUGAAUAUUUUUUUGCACCUUA